RNAcentral lists this ribosomal RNA (463 nucleotides) under uncultured bacterium. RNAcentral's name for it is "partial 16S ribosomal RNA". It matches the Rfam family "Bacterial small subunit ribosomal RNA", at positions 28 to 507 of the family's 1533-position model. The record is from RNAcentral.
GACGAACGCUGGCGGCGUGCUUAACACAUGCAAGUCGAACGGAAAGGCCUUUUCGGAGGUACUCGAGUGGCGAACGGGUGAGUAACACGUGGGUGAUCUGCCCUGCACUCUGGGAUAAGCCUGGGAAACUGGGUCUAAUACCGGAUAGGACCGCACUUUAGUGUGUGUGGUGGAAAGUUUUUUCGGUGUAGGAUGAGCCCGCGGCCUAUCAGCUUGUUGGUGGGGUAAUGGCCUACCAAGGCGGCGACGGGUAGCCGGACUGAGAGGUUGGUCGGCCACAUUGGGACUGAGAUACGGCCCAGACUCCUACGGGAGGCAGCAGUGGGGAAUAUUGCACAAUGGGCGCAAGCCGGAUGCAGCGACGCCGCGUGGGGGAUGACGGCCUUCGGGUUGGAAACUCCUUUCGCCAGGGACGAAGCGUUUUGUGACGGUACCUGGAGAAGAAGCACCGGCUAACUACGUG